GCGUGGAGACAGGUGGUGCAUGGCUGUCGUCAGCUCGUGUCGUGAGAUGUUGGGUUAAGUCCCGCAACGAGCGCAACCCUCACCCCUGGUUGCCACCGGGUAAAGCCGAGCACUCGAGGGGAACUGCCCCGGUUAACGGGGAGGAAGGCGGGGAUGACGUCAAGUCAUCAUGCCCCUUACGCCCUGGGCUACACACGUGCUACAAUGGCCGGUACAAAGGGACGCGAGACCGCGAGGUGGAGCUAAUCCCAAAAAACCGGUCUAAGUUCAGAUUGCAGUCUGCAACUCGACUGCAUGAAGGAGGAAUCGCUAGUAAUCGCGCAUCAGCACGGCGCGGUGAAUACGUUCCCGGGCCUUGUACACACCGCCCGUCACACCACGAAAGCUGUCUGUACUCGAAGUCGCUGAG
Molecule: ribosomal RNA, 409 nt
Filed under: uncultured Methylomirabilota bacterium
Lineage: Bacteria; Methylomirabilota (SeqCode)
Description: bacterial SSU rRNA
Rfam family: Bacterial small subunit ribosomal RNA
Source: RNAcentral